Molecule: non-coding RNA, 574 nt
Filed under: uncultured fungus
Lineage: Eukaryota; Fungi
Description: partial 18S ribosomal RNA
Rfam family: Group I catalytic intron (bases 161-507)
About the family: Group I catalytic introns are large self-splicing ribozymes.
Source: RNAcentral
GUACUUAACCAUAAACUAUGCCGACUAGGGAGUCGGUACGGUGGUUUUUUAUUGCCCGUUCGGCACUUACGAGAAAUCAAGUUUUGGGCUCGGGGGGAGGUAUGGUCGCAAGGCUGAAACUUAAAGAAAUUGACGGAAGGGCACCACCAGGCGUAAACUUACUUAGCCGUAGUUAACUCUGCGCCUUAAAGCAGCCCGUAAGGGUGAGUGGUUGCCGGCCUUAAAUGCUAGUCGUGCGGUCGUCUUUCGAGGCACCGGACGGCGACACCCUCAAAUUGCGGGAAAGCCCUAAAGUUCUACCUACUAAGCCAUGGUUUCGAAAGACCAUGGUGGCCCGGUUAAUGGCCUGGGGUAUAGUAAUAACGGUAGAAAUGUUGACAAUGGGUGAUCCGCAGCCAAGCUCCGUCGCCUCGCAAGAGGUCGGAGAAGGUUCAGAGACUAAAUGGGGGGUGGGUAAGAGACCAUGUCUUGCUUAAGAUAUAGUCCAAUCCCCGGGGAAACUCGGGGUUGACUACUACAAUUACUUGUAGGCCUCUAUAAACGGGAGCCUGCGGCUUAAUUUGACUCAACACGG